GGGGGGGGGGGGGGGGGGGGGUGGGGGGGGGGGGGCGGAGGGGGGUGGCCGGGGGGUUUCGGGGGGGGGGGGGAGUGGCGGACGGGGGAGUAACACGGGAGUAACCGGCCCCCUUAUUCGGGGUAAGGGUCUGAAAGGGCUGCUAAUACCGGGUAUUCACUGGUCUCCGCAUGGGGUGUGGGGGGAAGGUGUUUUUCUGGUGGGGGAUGGGCUCGCGGCCUAUCAGCUUGUUGGUGGGGUGAUGGCCCACCACGGCUUUGACGGGUAGACGGCCUGAGAGGGUGCCCGGUCACAUUGGGCCUGAGAUACGGCCCAGACUCCUACGGGAGGCAGCAGUGGGGAAUAUUGCACAAUGGGCGCAAGCCUGAUGCAGCGACGCCGCGUGAGGGAUGGAGGCCUUCGGGUUGUGAACCUCUUUCGCCCGUGGUCAAGCCGCGACGUGGGUCGUGGUGAGGGUAGUGGGUAAAGAAGCGCCGGCUAACUACGUG
This 488-nucleotide ribosomal RNA is filed under the name uncultured bacterium. RNAcentral describes it as "partial 16S ribosomal RNA". It matches the Rfam family "Bacterial small subunit ribosomal RNA", at positions 38 to 507 of the family's 1533-position model. The record is from RNAcentral.